This 72-nucleotide transfer RNA is filed under the name Candidatus Hydrothermarchaeota archaeon. RNAcentral describes it as "tRNA-Cys". It matches the Rfam family "tRNA". From Rfam's summary of the family: Transfer RNA (tRNA) molecules are approximately 80 nucleotides in length. Their secondary structure includes four short double-helical elements and three loops (D, anti-codon, and T loops). Further hydrogen bonds mediate the characteristic L-shaped molecular structure. tRNAs have two regions of fundamental functional importance: the anti-codon, which is responsible for specific mRNA codon recognition, and the 3' end, to which the tRNAs corresponding amino acid is attached (by aminoacyl-tRNA synthetases). tRNAs cope with the degeneracy of the genetic code in two manners: having more than one tRNA (with a specific anti-codon) for a particular amino acid; and 'wobble' base-pairing, i.e. permitting non-standard base-pairing at the 3rd anti-codon position. Lineage: Archaea; Methanobacteriati; Candidatus Hydrothermarchaeota. RNAcentral also lists the same sequence under 1 other name. The record is from RNAcentral.
GCCAGGGUAGUCUAGUGGCGAGGCGGCGGACUGCAGAUCCGCUUUACGCCGGUUCAAAUCCGGCCCCUGGCU